RNAcentral lists this ribosomal RNA (478 nucleotides) under uncultured bacterium. Its description in RNAcentral is "bacterial SSU rRNA". It matches the Rfam family "Bacterial small subunit ribosomal RNA", at positions 28 to 502 of the family's 1533-position model. The record is from RNAcentral.
GAUGAACGCUGGCGGCGUGCUUAACACAUGCAAGUCGAACGAAGCACUCUAUUUGAUUUUCUUCGGAAAUGAAGAUUUUGUGACUGAGUGGCGGACGGGUGAGUAACGCGUGGGUAACCUGCCUCAUACAGGGGGAUAACAGUUGGAAACGACUGCUAAUACCGCAUAAGCGCACAGGAUCGCAUGAUCCGGUGUGAAAAACUCUGGUGGUAUGAGAUGGACCCGCGUCUGAUUAGCCAGUUGGCAGGGUAACGGCCUACCAAAGCGACGAUCAGUAGCCGACCUGAGAGGGUGACCGGCCACAUUGGGACUGAGACACGGCCCAAACUCCUACGGGAGGCAGCAGUGGGGAAUAUUGCACAAUGGGGGAAACCCUGAUGCAGCGACGCCGCGUGAGCGAAGAAGUAUUUCGGUAUGUAAAGCUCUAUCAGCAGGGAAGAAUUCAUGACGGUACCUGACUAAGAAGCACCGGCUAAAU